CCAGGGUUAUCUGCAUGUCUUUGUCUCCGUAUUACUGUAACUGGUAACACAAGUGCAGAACCGCGUCGCCAGAGAGCUGCUACCUGCCUGCGAGCAGUCAGCAAAAAGCCCUCGAGAGACCCAGGUCUUUCCUCUCCGUUUGCCCAGGCAGCGUGGCUCGUUUGUACGUGUUGAAGAAAGUUUGACACCUUUUGGUUUCUUGAAGAGUGGAUGUCGGAGCAAUGGGAGAGGAAAGAUGUGAAAUGAACCUUACGGCUGCCCAGACUGGAAGGUGACUAUGGCGCUCACAUCAUCACUCAGAUGAUUCUCUUUCACACUGGACAUAAAACCUGACAUUUAUUUAAUGUAGUGCUGUGUUGGGUCCAGUCAAGUUCAGCAGGUAACAUUGAAGACAACAGGAGCUGUCAGAGGUCUCACAUGCCUGAGCCCAACCUUGCAUCCAGACUCUAAGGCUUGGAAGUUCCAGAUUGCUCAUGGUUCUCAGGUGUGUGCAUCAGCGUACGGCAAAGUGUGUGAACUAGAAGUCUUCCUACUAAUUGCCUGGAGCGGUUUAUAUUGGCAUAACUCACACCAGAAUCCUGUUCCCUGAACCUUGAAAAUAAAUACUUUCAUUUCAGGAAAGAAAAUGGAUCCACAACAAAUGGUGUUGUGUUGCUUAAUGGUUUCCUGACAAAUCCCUGUCUCUGCUUUGGAGCUGUGAAAACAGACGCAGACACUGCUCUCAUUUCAGUCUCGGGAGGAACCUGACAGGUGCAGCAAGCAGGCCGGUCAGGAUAAUAAAAGCCAUAGGUACGGUAUGUUCUUAAAAAAGACAUUGUGUGCAGCUCGGACACUUAGAGCUGUCUAAACUGCAGUGAGAGGAGAGGUCUUGCACUGCUGCCAUGUGUGGUGCUCACAUGUGCUCAACUCCCUCCAAAGUGUCAAGAAUGG
This is a long non-coding RNA of Columba livia (rock pigeon), 930 nucleotides long. RefSeq lists it as uncharacterized. NCBI's taxonomy places the organism in Eukaryota, Metazoa, Chordata, Aves, Columbiformes, Columbidae. The transcript is spliced from 4 exons. The record is from RefSeq and is a predicted model, not a curated record.